AGCAAGGUCCUCCUCACAGUAG
Molecule: microRNA, 22 nt
Filed under: Mus musculus (house mouse)
Lineage: Eukaryota; Metazoa; Chordata; Mammalia; Rodentia; Muridae
Description: mmu-miR-679-3p
Gene: mmu-miR-679-3p
Source: miRBase by way of RNAcentral